AGUCGAGGGGUAUUUAUCUUCGGAUAGAGAGACCGGCGCACGGGUGCGUAACGCGUAUGCAAUCUACCUUUUACAGAGGGAUAGCCCAGAGAAAUUUGGAUUAAUACCUCAUAGUAUUAUGAAAUGGCAUCAUUUUAUAAUUAAAGUCACAACGGUAAAAGAUGAGCAUGCGUCCCAUUAGCUAGUUGGUAAGGUAACGGCUUACCAAGGCUACGAUGGGUAGGGGUCCUGAGAGGGAGAUCCCCCACACUGGUACUGAGACACGGACCAGACUCCUACGGGAGGCAGCAGUGAGGAAUAUUGGACAAUGGGCGCAAGCCUGAUCCAGCCAUGCCGCGUGCAGGAUGACGGUCCUAUGGAUUGUAAACUGCUUUUAUACGAGAAGAAACACUCCAACGUGUUGGAGCUUGACGGUAUCGUAAGAAUAAGGAUCGGCUAACUCCGUGCCAGCAGCCGCGGUAAUACGGAGGAUCCAAGCGUUAUCCGGAAUCAUUGGGUUUAAAGGGUCCGUAGGCGGUUUAGUAAGUCAGUGGUGAAAGCCCAUCGCUCAACGGUGGAACGGCCAUUGAUACUGCUGAACUUGAAUUAUUAGGAAGUAACUAGAAUAUGUAGUGUAGCGGUGAAAUGCUUAGAGAUUACAUGGAAUACCAAUUGCGAAGGCAGGUUACUACUAAUGGAUUGACGCUGAUGGACGAAAGCGUGGGUAGCGAACAGGAUUGGAUACCCUGGUAGUCCACGCCGUAAACGAUGGAUACUAGCUGUUGGGAGCAAUCUCAGUGGCUAAGCGAAAGUGAUAAGUAUCCCACCUGGGGAGUACGUUCGCAAGAAUGAAAC
This 834-nucleotide ribosomal RNA is filed under the name uncultured Bacteroidota bacterium. Its description in RNAcentral is "bacterial SSU rRNA". It matches the Rfam family "Bacterial small subunit ribosomal RNA", at positions 60 to 900 of the family's 1533-position model. The record is from RNAcentral. Lineage: Bacteria; Pseudomonadati; Bacteroidota.